Long non-coding RNA from Homo sapiens (human), 412 nucleotides. RefSeq lists it as uncharacterized. The transcript is spliced from 4 exons. Lineage: Eukaryota; Metazoa; Chordata; Mammalia; Primates; Hominidae. The record is from RefSeq and is a predicted model, not a curated record.
CGCCAUGAUUCUGAGGCCUCCCCAGCUAUGUGGAACUAAACAAGGGCAUGAAAAUCAGGCAGGAUCCAUCCCAGGAUUCAAGGCUUGCUCCAGCCCCUAACAGCAGGAUGAUUUGGGCCACUAGGCACUCCUGCCGAGUUCAAAGGAGAGGGCGCUUCAGUCAGACAGCAAAUGAAAGCAAGAAACUGAAGCAUACAGAGAUAAGCAACCCGCCAGGCUUCAAGUGCCAGAACUGGGAUCCAACCCAAGCAAUCUCAUUCCUCAACUUUAUAGUGAUUACAAUUAUUGAUGUUGUUAUGUAUUCUCAAUUACUAAGGGGAAAGAAGAACACAUUAUUUCCUAGUCAAAGUCUCCACAGCCGAAACAAGUGUAAAGUUGUUGCGGUUAAGCAGGGCCCUGAUUAUAGUAAGAU